RNAcentral lists this ribosomal RNA (253 nucleotides) under uncultured bacterium. Its description in RNAcentral is "partial 16S ribosomal RNA". It matches the Rfam family "Bacterial small subunit ribosomal RNA", at positions 524 to 776 of the family's 1533-position model. The record is from RNAcentral.
UACGAAGGGGGCUAGCGUUGCUCGGAAUUACUGGGCGUAAAGCGCACGUAGGCGGCUUGUUAAGUCAGGGGUGAAAUCCUGGAGCUCAACUCCAGAACUGCCUUUGAUACUGGCGAGCUUGAGUUCGGGAGAGGUGAGUGGAACUGCGAGUGUAGCGGUGGAAUGCGCAGAUAUCAGGAGGAACACCAAUAGCGAAGGCAGCUCGCUGGGACGGUACUGACGCUAAGGCGCGAAAGCGUGGGUAGCAAACAGG